RNAcentral lists this ribosomal RNA (433 nucleotides) under uncultured bacterium. Its description in RNAcentral is "partial 16S ribosomal RNA". It matches the Rfam family "Bacterial small subunit ribosomal RNA", at positions 29 to 507 of the family's 1533-position model. The record is from RNAcentral.
AACGAACGCUGGCGGCAUGCCUAACACAUGCAAGUCGAACGAUCCCUUCGGGGGUAGUGGCGCACGGGUGCGUCGCGCGUGGGAACCUGCCCUUAGGUUCGGAAUACCUCAGAGAAAUUUGAGCUAAUACCGGAUAAUGUCUUCUGACCAAAGAUUUAUCGCCUUUGGAUGGGCCCGCGUUGGAUUAGCUUGUUGGUAGGGUAAAGGCCUACCAAGGCGACGAUCCAUAGCUGGUCUGAGAGGAUGAGCAGCCACACUGGGACUGAGACACGGCCCAGACUCCUACGGGAGGCAGCAGUGGGUAAUAUUGGACAACGGGCGAAAGCCUGAUCCAGCAAUGCCGCGUGAGUGAUGAAGGCCGGAGGGUUGUAAAGCUCUUUUAUCCGGGAUGAUAAUGACAGUACCGGGAGAAUAAGCCCCGGCUAACUCCGUG